UCAGUCACCACAGGUUAUGCUCUCUUAGAUUCUUAACAUUUGUACUAAUUCUAGAAUACAGGAAAGCAACAGAAAAGGGAAAAGCAGUCUUCAAAGCUGUGAGUAGAUGCACUUCAGCUUUAUCAGCUCUUUCAAUGGAGAAGGUUAAAGUAGAAGGCUGAAAUCUUUCAGAGACAAGGCUCAAGAGAGCAAGCAAAACAUUACAGGACAAUGGACAGAUCAAGGUAGCCACUCCCAGUCAAGGACUGCAUGAGCUGCCCAGAGCAAGACUUUUUAGGAUAUGGUACACAGCUGGGAGCCUGCCAACUCCUGGUUUUGUCAUUACCCUCAGAACUCCAGAACGUAAGUUCCAUGAAGGUUCUGUCAUGCUAUCAUCACAGCAGCUUUAUCAAACCAGGACUAAAAACCCAUUCAUGGAGCACUUUAAAUUAGCAAGCUUCUAUUAAUCACUAAUGGGUGGAACUCUGGAGAUGAAAGCUACCUGCUUCUUAAGCAGCACUGGUGGAAGACAAACAUAUGAAUAAAUGCACGGGUACACACACACACAAACACACACACACAGUGUUAUGGGAGCUAAAGAAAAGAAGAGUUAUAAUUCUGCUUAGAAAAGUCAGGGAAGUCCUCAUAGAUGAGCUGAUACAUGAACCAUAUUUUGAAGGAUACGCAGCAAGCCAAAAAUGGACCUGGUGAGUAAAGGUUAUUAUUGAUAAAGAGAACCUCGCAAAACACAGAGUUUGGUGUGUCGGGACUACAGUGGCUGUGGUAUAGGCAUGUACAAGAAGCAGUGUCACACGAAGGUUAAGAUAAUAGACUCUGGCAUCAUUCUCCCUGGUAUGAACCCUGGCACUGCCCUUGAACAAAUUCAUUGUUAAUUUCUUUGUGACUUAAUUUCCUUCUCUAUAUAAUAGGAAAAGAAACAAUAUCUAAACUGUAGGGUUUUUAAGGGUUAAAUGAAAUAGUACUGUAAUACCUGGCACAUAAUAAACACUUAAAAAUGUUAACUAUCAGUAGUAUUAUCCCCAAAAGCCAACUACUUCUUGAGUAAUCAGUAUCACUAUUAUGAGUGAAAUUUCCCCCACAUGUGUCUUCACACUAACAAUAAGCAAUAUUAGAUUACGGUUGUACAUUCCUUUGGACAGGUACUCUCUUCUACAAGUCAGAAAUCUAUUCCUGGGGGUAGCUUCCAAGUCAUAUAUUCUGAAUGGUUGUCUGAAUAGCUGUUUCACAGCCCCUCUAAGCAUUCAGGUCUUCUAAAUUAUGAAGUAAGUUGAUAAAUGGGCAUAUAAAAAUAAGUGCAAGGAACAUACUGUUGCUAGAUACCUUACGUACAUACUUGUGGAGGAGACAUGUAUUCAUCAAGAUACAUAAAGUUUAUCUUUUGAAGAGAAGACAAUCAUAUUGAAAGAAACAUGUUAUCAUUUGGGCUGGAAAACUCAGAAAUCAAUCCUCUAAUUUCAAGUGAUUUGACACAGAUAUCUUUUGCAUUGGCUAAAUCUGGGCAUUUGAAUGCAAGAAAGACCCGAAGAAAUUAAUUUCCUAAAAGCUAGCUCCCUUUAGCUGAAAAAUAUUAAAUAAUGAUGAUCACUUCAUAAAUAAAAAUAAAAUUCUAAGUCUGCCUCCAACUAGAUGAACGAACCCCCUGUUGGCCAAAGGGAAAUCAGAGAAACCCUGGAAGCUGAGUUCCUGGCCAUGACAGGAUGGGAGGUAGGACACACUUUGUCACGUUGUAGUCUCUUUGUUAACUGCCUUUAGGCUUUCUUAUGUAAGGGCGAAACAGAAACCAGCCCUUUCAAAAGACUCCACUGCUAUUUCAACCAACUGCCUUAUUGCUGGCUCUCCCUUUUGUGGUUUUGGCACAACAGCCAACCAGCAUUUCUUUUUGAUAAAGGAGCACUCACCAUGGAGUGGUUCUGGCCAGUCUGUGGAGGAUACACAGUGAGAGUUUUCGUGUCCCCUGCUUUACCCUUUGACAUCAGAGGGUGGAAAAUUCCACCCCUGGAUCAUGCUAAUGCUGCCAUUUUUCGAACAUGGGUCCCAUGGAGAGGCCUGAGGCUCAGUUGCCCAUGGGCAGGUCUCUCCUUUCAUGAAUAUUUAUGACUCCUCCUAUAGUUUAUUGAAUAUGCAUAUUUGGCCACCUCAUUCAGCAUAAAUCCCCAUCCUAUUUGUCUCACCCUUGAAGCAGUCUGUUUCUUGCUUCUGGCCGGAGGCCGCGCCUCCCAGUCUAUCAGAAUAGCCACCUUGCAGGCUGCAACCCUUUAUAAGAAAUAAAGCUCUCCUUUCCACUUGGAUGAACCUUGUCAUUCUUCAGCUGACCUGCUUCAACAGAUACCACUGAAAGAUACAAAGAAAGUGGGCAGGGCACAUAACCUUGAUGUUUAGAUUCCACAUUCCACCACUUUACAAGAGAGUUUUAAGUCAUUAUGAAGUCCAGAGAGCCACUAAGGAACUGCUGUUUGGAUGAUGUCAGCAGAUUUAGAGGGAGCUAUUUCCCCAGAGAUGACCAAGUUCCACAGUCAAGAGAUCUUUUCUAGUUUUCUAUGUCAGGCCAUCUGGGAAAGGGAAAAAUGAUCAUUUUGGUGAAGGGAAGUUGCAGCUAGAAGCAAAUAAAUCCUGUAUACAGGAUAAAAUGAGAUAUAUGAAUAUAAGUCAAACUAAAGAGCUAUAGAGAUACCAGACCUACUGCCCAUGUCACUAAGCAGGUAAAUGUGCGUAUUCAGCUGUUGUAAGCCAAAAGAAAGUGGUGAGGUCAGGCUUGGAGUGUGCCUGCCCCAGUAAAGGAAGGACAAUUAAAAAAAAAUUGUUAAAGCAUUGCACAAGCCACACUAAAUACACCUGUUUCCAGGACCAGGAUUCUAUCUGUUUUAUAAUCCUGUGGGCUCAUGGCCUCUGGCCUAUGCUGAGAGGGGAGAAAUCACACUGUGGGGCAGAACUGAAAAUAUCAUUGGUUAAUAAACAUGCAAUUAGGUAGAUAAACGGAAGGAAUAGAAUUUAUAGUUGUAUGUCCUCAGGAAGGAUAAGAGUGAACUUCAGUUGGAGAGAAGAGAAAGGGGGAAACCAGUCAAGCAGGCAGUUAGGGUGGGUCCUUGGUUGAAUUCUUUCAAACAAAAGAAUAGCCUGAAAAAUCAAGCUGCAGGUACAGAUAAGGGAACUUGUACAGAGGGGCUUGCCUAAGACACGCCCUCAAUGGAAAAUUCCAUCCCCUAAUACAAGCGCAGUAAGGGAAGCAAAGCAAUAUGGAGUAACUCAAGCUAAGGGCCUGUAUGCACAUUAGGAGAACAGAAGUGGAGCUACCAGAAAUUCAUGGCUUAUGCAAAUGAGACCCCCAGCCCUCCUCAGUUUCUUAUAAAAGUCUUUGCAUUCAACUGUAAAAAUGGCAGCCCUCUUCCCGGUCCCAUCUCCAUGGCAGAGAGCUUUCUUCUUGCGCUUAUUAAACUUUCGCUCCAACCUCACCCUUUGUGUCCACACUUCUUAAUUCUCUUGGUUGUGAGAUGAAAAACUCCGUGGUGCAUUGGCGAGACUGUAAUAGUAAGAUCUACAUUAAAUUAGGGAAAUUACUAUGGGGGUCUAUAUUCUAUAGCUUUGCCAGUUUGUUCUUAGGAUUUUCUGUUUUGCCUAUGAAUUGGGGUGCAGGGAGAGGGAGUUGAGCAAAAAAGCAGUAAGAUUUUUCCAUGCUGGUCCUUCCACUGAGUGGGGCUUUUGUAAAAUAAUGAGAUAUUACAUCCUUAUGGUAAGUUCUUUCAGCUUACUUAACUUCUUUGUGUUUCCUCUUUGAAAGGGCAAACAGAUAAUGUACUGCCCAAAUUCUAAUGACAAAACCAAAUACACAGGGAGUGGCUCUCGUGAAGUCUCCUCCAUUACUUGCCUAAAACUCAAUUAUUAGCAUCAUUGUAAGCACCUUUUAGCCAGGUUGGAGCUCCACAAAAAAAAAGACCUAAAAUUCCAUAGGAGUAGAGUCUUAGCCUAGGAAGUAAGAGUCCUUUGAUAUAGAAUUUAAAAUGUGUGAUGCUAAUAAGCUAUAUGAUUAUUUUUUGAAGUUACUGUUUAAUAUUACUUUGAAAGAUUUUGUUUUUAAAGGAGGUGAUCUGGUAUCAUUAGGAAGGAGAAACUAAAGUCUGGGCAAGUUUGUAAAUGGAAAAAAAAAUAAACAUCGGGUGAAAAGAGCAAUGUAUGAGGAAAAAAUUCUAUUGAAGGGUAAAGAAGUAAAGAUGCAGUGUUGCUUUUUUGGUAGUUGUUGUCUUGAAAAGACAAGGUAAGUUUAGUUUCAGGAUGGAGACAGCCCAAGACCCCAGGGCUCCAACCAGUAGGUGAAGAACCAGUCAUUUUUGGUUAAAAUGAGAAGAGACCUCUCUAUUCCAUGGAACAGUGCUUUCUUUUUGUUGUUGUUGUUCUUGUUGUUUUUCAUGAUACUUUAUUUUUUGAAUAGACAAAUAAAUGAAUGAACUGACACAAAAUCACUUACCAAG
Long non-coding RNA from Piliocolobus tephrosceles (Ugandan red Colobus), 4463 nucleotides. RefSeq lists it as uncharacterized. Lineage: Eukaryota; Metazoa; Chordata; Mammalia; Primates; Cercopithecidae. The transcript is spliced from 4 exons. The record is from RefSeq and is a predicted model, not a curated record.